RNAcentral lists this long non-coding RNA (42909 nucleotides) under Gossypium barbadense (sea-island cotton). RNAcentral describes it as "long non-coding RNA (GBAR_LNC002183)". The record is from RNAcentral. Lineage: Eukaryota; Viridiplantae; Streptophyta; Magnoliopsida; Malvales; Malvaceae.
CAAAGUCUGCAACAAAAGAGACAACACUGCUCGACGGUCCCUUGACUAAACACCCAGGUAAGCCAUUCCCUUAUAUUUUGAGCAUUACUGUUGAGUAUCCAUGAAAAAUUUAAAAACCUCCAUAUUUUUGUAACACCCCUUACCCGUGUUCGACGCUGGAAUAGGGUACGAGGCAUUACCGGACUUAAUCAUACACAAACAUGCAAAAACCGGGCUAUAAAAUUUCUUUUAGAUCAAAACUUUAAAUACAUAACGUCUCAUACACGGGCCUCCGAAGCCUUAAACAUGCAUUGAAAAUAGUUAAGGACUAAACCGAGAAUCUUAGAAAAUUUUGGGAAAGCUUAGAAAAAUUUUCCAUGACACAAAGUCACAUGCCCGUGUGGACACAGGGACACGCCCGUGUGCCCAGGACACGCCCGUAUCCUUAGGCCGUGUAACUCUCUAACAAUGACGUCAGCGAAUAAUCUGAACUAUACGGCCAAGCCAUACGCCCGUCUGUUAAGGUCGUGUUCCCCCACACGGUUAAGACACACGGUCGUGUCUCAGCCUGUGUGGCCAACACUUAGGCUAUUUUCCAAGCCGCCUGUGUGGCCAACACUUAGGCUAUUUUCCAAGCCUUUAUGUUACUCUUAAUCCUUCACAUCUUUAUACCCAUCAAGGACACAUGUCAUGAAAUCAUUUUAAUGAUUUAGCAUCCAUAUUAAGACACAUUCAUGACAUUAACAUGUUACCAUUCAUACAUUUCACAUACUCAUAUAAUAUCAAGUCGAGACACAACAAUACCUAUUCAUUAGCCUUGUCAUUUAAUGACCACUUUUACCAAAUUUUCAUAAUUGCCAUCUUAUUUCCAUAUCAAAAAUUUAAUUCAUGGCCAUGACCAUUUCAAUUGGUCAUAGAGCAUUCAUCGUGCACUUAAUUCACAACACCAACCAUAUAUGGCUAACAAGCAUAAUCACAUCAUCACAUCACAAGCAUUAGAACAUAACAUAGAUAGAUAAGUUCACAAACCACAAUCAAUAUGAGCCACUCAUCAUGGCCAUAUAUAAGUAACUCAAUGUAAGCCAAUACCUUUGGCUAAUCAUAAUAAUAGCUAACAUAAAAACUAAGUCCUUAUACAUACCACUCACACGAAAAUGCUAAACAAAUAUGGGUCAAUACUUCGAAGGCAAUGGCCUGAUAGUGUGAUGCUGCUUCUGACGAUCUCCAACCCCAAGCUAACCUGUCACCACUAAAUAAAAGGAAAGGAAGGGAUUAAGCUUUAUAGAUUUGUAAGACCGUAUGAGAAAAAUAAGCAAUUUAUCAACUUGCUUUUCAAGGUAAUACAAUCAUAUUUGCACUUUUAUUUAUGUUGAGGUCAAACUAUUUUCUCGAGUCACAGUUGUUAAAUUAUUUAUAUCUAAAGCUACGAAACUUCAAAUUAAGUUUCGCCAAUUUUUACUUAAAACUAGACUCAUUUAUAUUCUUACGCUAAAAUUUUUAAAAUUUUUGGUCUAGCCAAUUAGUACAGUUUAUUCCUUUAAUUUACCCUUUUUUCGCUGUCUGACAGUUUUGACCCCUCUUCACUAAAAAUUUAUUAUCUCAUGAUACAGGACUCGGAUGACAUUCUUGUCUAUUUCUCUUGAAAAUAGACUCAUUAAAAAUUCGAAGAAUAUAAAUUAUAACCCAUAACUAUUUUUUGUAAAAUUUUCAAUGAUUUUCUCAAAUCAGAACAGGGGAUUUUGAAAUCAUUUUAACUGUCUCACAACAAUUUAAAUAUUUAAUAGUAUGAAACUCCUUUGCUUACACCAUUUCUUCUAUGUGAAACUAGACUCAUUAAGCUUUAAUUUCAUAUUUUAUUCAGUGCUAAAUCAAUUUCCACAAUUUUUGGUGGAUUUUCAAAUUCGAACUAUUGCUGCUGUCCAAAGCUGUUUUAGUGUAAAUUAAUGAUACUAAGUUUAUCACACCUUAUUAAUUCAUUUUCCCCACAUUGGUAAACAUACAUGUUUAUACAUCAUAAGUAUAGACCUAUAAUCAUAAGGUCAUCACAAAAUCAUUCUCAUAAGCAUGACUUACCUAUUUACAUCCUCACCAAAUAUGCACCGUAAACUGAAAUCAUUUCUCAUGAGCUUGGCAUACAUACCUGUGUUACUUAACAUGCUCACAUUCAUUCCUCACUAAUGAUACAACAUGAAUUGAGUUCACAUAUCAUCAAGAUCAUGUAAGUACCUGUACCACUCACAACAUAGCCAUUAUCUCUAUCAUUGCGACGUAAACCAUAAAUUUCUUGUUGAACCAUUUAGAACACUACAAGAUAUUCACUAAGCCUCAAACAUAGGGUAAGAUGUCGACGCCAUGUCCCAGACAUGGUCUUACAUUGGCUAGCACAUCAAAUUCGAUGCCAUGUCCCAAACAGGUCUUACACUGACUUUCAUAUAUCGAGGCCGAUGCCGUGUCCCAGACAGGUCUUACACUGGCUCUCAUCUAUCGGUGUCGAUGCCAUAUGCCAGAUAGGUCUUACACUAACACACAAAAAACUAACGCCAUGUCCCAGACAGGUCUUACACUAGCUUGUAUAUCUCGAGGCCGAUGCAUGUCCCAGACAUGUCUUACAUUGGCUCUCAUAAUGUGGCCGAUGCAUGUCCCAGACAUGCCUUACACUAGCACACAUAUCACGCAAUGUCAUGGCAUGAAUAACCAAAUCUAUUCUUAGUGUUCAACCGGGAGUCUUUAUUACAUUAAUCUCUCAACGUGCAUCCUCAUAUUCACCAUCAAAGCAAUUUAUGCAAUAUCAAUUCAAUCACAUAUCAUAACAAUGUAGUUGCAUUAUUAACAUACAACUUACUUGUUUCAAUGGAAUGUCAUAUUCCAUCAACAUAUAAUUAAAUACAAUCGUAACGAAAUAGAUUUCAAGUAAAUUAACAAUAGCAUGGAUAACAUGUUUAUUUAGUCACACAAACUUACCUCAAAUGCAAUUUCGGCUAAUUAUUCUCUUUUAUCCUUCACCACGUACUUUCUCGAUUUAAGCCUGAAUCUCGAUUUUUCUUGAUCUAACAUGAUGAAAUUCACUCAUUUAAUCACUAAAUAAAUUUGGGCAAUCAAAAUUCACAUUUUUGGAAAAAUGACCAUUUUUCCCCUAGACUUUCACAAAAUGACCAUUUUACCCAUAGGCCCAAAAAUUGAUUUUUAUCGAAUUUCCUUAUUAGCCAAGCCUAAUAGACCAUUUAUUACUCUUAUGAAAACCCCAAAUUUCCACUAUUUCACACAAUUACAACGUAUUUUAUAACUUUUACAAAAUGGCCCUUUUAGGUGUUUUCCAUGAAAAUCACUUUACAAAAGUUGUUUAUUUCACAACCAUAACUCAUUCUUUCAUAAAAUUUCAGUUAAAAACACAUGCUUUCAUGGAAAAACCCUAGACUCUCAACCAUUUUGCAAAAUAGUCCUUUCAAUAGCUAGAUUAAGCUUUAGGGGUCCUAAAAAUGUGAAAAUCAUCAAGAAAUACCAUCAAAAUCACUUACUUGAAUGAGUGAAGAGUGGCUGCAAAUUUCAAGCUUUCAAAACCCUUAUUUUUCUAUUAUUUUCAGUGGAGAGAAUGAAGGUGAAAAGAUGAUAUCACUUUCUCUUUUUUUUUUAUUUCUAGUCAAAACAAAAUCACCAACUUCACCAACUUUUGACUUUUCGUACUCAUCUUUGUCUCUAUGGCCGGCCUAGCAUUUCUUAAGGGUCCAUUUGCUCUUUAAAUACCUCAAAUUUUGGUUCUCUAGCUAUUUAACAUAUUUAUCUAGCAAAACAAAACUUUUGCCCUUUAUGCGAUUUAGUCAUUUUUCUCAAUUAAGCUAGCAAUCGCUAAAAUUAUUUCACCAAAAUUUUCAUGCACUCAUAUAAUCAUACUAUAACACAUAAAAUAACAUUAAAAAUAAUUUCUCUGGCCCCGGAAUAGUGGUUCUGAAACCACUGUUCUGACUAGGCCCAAAAUCGGGCUGUUACAAUUUUUAUUGUUGUAGGGCACUACAGAAGAACAUGAUUGUUGUCUUCUUUAUUCUAGUGACACCUAGGACACUGAUCUUCAACAGCCACUCUUUUCAGCUUGAGAUUUGAAAAAUUAGGAAUAUAGUUAUUUUCCAUACUAUAAUUUUCACUUUCGAAGGAAUGUUUAGAUUCCACAGCUUUUUGUAAAAAGCUUUAGUAUCGACCUGUAUAAAAUUACUAGGAUUUAGAGUAGUUUCUUGUAAUAGCUUAUAGGCGCUCCUCACAAAAAAAUUCCCAGAUGGUUUUCCUCUCCAAACUUGGAAAUCAUCGUGGACUGACCUCGCCAAAGGGAUCUGCAUAAUCUUUUUAGCAAUAUCUAGCUAGAAGGUAUUGACAAUUAAUUCAGUCUUCCACUCUCUAUUUUCAUCAUCAAUUAAGUCCGACACUAACUCUAUAUUUUCAUUUCUGCUUUGAUUCUGAAUCUUAUCUUCUUCAUUACUCGACACCCAAAGGUCUGUCCAAACUGAGAUGCGAUCCACCUUACCAACCCUCCAACAUAAACCUUUCUCCAGAAUUCUUUUGGCUGACCAGACACUCUUUCAAAUAAGUAAGGGUAAGUUUCCUAAAGAAGCAUUUAAAAAAUUCGAAUUCUGAUAAUACUUAGCUUUCAAAACUCGGGCUAACGAAGAAUUGGGAUAAUUAAUAAAAUGUCAACCCUGUUUAGUUAAUAGUGCGAUAUUAAAUAUAUCAAUUUUUUGAAAACCAAGGCCUCUAACUUUUUUUAACGAACAAAUAUCAUUAUGCACACCAAUGUAUACCCAUUUUUCCUCUAUGUUUUUACCACCAAAAUCUCUCAAUUAUACCCUCCAAAUUGGCACAUAAAGACUUAGGAAGUAAAAAUCAAGCCAUUGAAUAAGUUGGAAUAGAUUGAAGAACAGCUUUAAUAAAACCCUCCUUACCCCCUUGAGAAAAGUACUUGAUACUCCAAUUAUCAAUUCUUUGCUGUAGUAUAUCCUUCAAGUUCUGAAAAGCUACUUUCUUUUUUUUACCCACCAAAUUAGGUAAACCUUGAUACUGUUCCAGAUCAUUUGUGCUAUGUAUUCCGAGCACUUUAAUUGUUAUUUUUUUAACCUCCUCCUGCGUAUUAGUGCUGAAAAAAAAGUAGACAUUGAAUAGCUAAUACUUUGACCAGAACAGAUUUCAUAUUCAUGUAGAAUUUGCUUUAAUGAACUUGCACCUCUUUCAGUAGCUUCCCCAAGCAAAAUGCAGUCAUCUGCAAAAAAGUAGAUGUGAAAUAUGUGGACCACUUCUGCUUGCUUUGACUCAUCUAAUUGUUUUUUCUUGAAUUUCUAGCCUUAUAAGACUAGAUAGACCUUCUCCACAAAAUAAAAAUAAAAAUGGGCUCAAAGGAUCUCCCUGUCUUAAUCCUUUAAAAGGAAAGAAAGUUUCUCCAAUAUAACCAUUCAAGAUCACCGAAUACGAUAUUGUUUUAAUGCAUUUCAUUAGUGAAGCAACAUUCCAAGUCAAAUCCCAAUUUCUUUAUUAUUUCUUCUACGAAAUUCCACUCAACUCUGUCGUACACUUUGCCCAUAUCCAAUUUCACCGCCAUAAAUCCUUUUUUCCCUGACCUCUUUUGUUUUAAAGUAUGUAGGAGUUCAUAGGCUAGCAAAACAUUAUCAAAAAUCAGUCUUCUGGGUGCAAAAGCACUUUUUGUUAAAUCAAUGCACUUAUCUAUUACAAUUCGGAGACGAUUAGCAAUAACUUUAGCCAUCAAUUUAUAAAGCACAUUGCACAAGCUGAUCGGCCUAAAUUGAGUUAUAUUCGAAGGAUUUGAAAUUUUCAAACUUAACACAAUAUUAGUUUUGUUGAUUGAGCUAAUAUCCAUACCUCCAUUUAGUUGAUGAAGACAAAAUUAUGUAACAUCUUCCCAUAUAAUUGGCCAACACUUCUGGUAGAAUAACGUUGGUAAACCAUCCUCUCCUGGUGCUUCUGUAGGGCCUAAUUCUGCUAAUGCCUUCUAGAUCUCUUCCUUCAUGUAGCUCCCAUUAAGUUUUGAAUUAUCCUCAUAAAUAUACAAUGAUUAAUUCCUAAUAAAAUGUGAUCAUAAUUUCCCUUUCUUCCAGCGGAGAACAAGUGUUGGAAGUACGAUCUGGCUAUUUCUCCCAUUUUUUCGAUUUCAUUCAUUUCCCUCUAUCAUCAAAUUGCAUUUUACGAAUAAAAUCCCUCUGUCGUUUCUAUGUUGCUUGCGAAUUUCAGCCAAUUAGCUCGUGCCCGUUGUUCCCAGUAACGCUCAUCCUUUUCAAUUUCAAAAUUGAGUUGAAUUUUUGUAUCAAUGAGAUCCGCCAAAGUUUCAUCAUUUCUCUCAACUUUCAGCAAUUUAACCAGUUUUAAAGUUAACUCCUCUUUCUUCUCUUUUAUGCUAUAUCGAAACUGAUUAGCCCAUCUCUUCAAACAUCUCUUAAAAAUUUCUAACUUAUUCAAUAAAUCUCCUUCAGAAUUUUCUCAGAUGUUUCUAACCUCCAUAAUAAACAACUCUUCUAGAACUCACUAUGCUUCAAAUUUGAAACUUCUAUGAAUUUGCUUCUGGACAUCCUUUUUUUUUAAUAAUGAAUAAUGGACAAUGAUCUGAAAACGAAUGAGGAAGAUGCUGUAGUUGAAACUCAGGAAAUAGAAAGAACCAAACAACAGUUGCGACUCCUCUAUGUAAGCGCCCUUGAAUAUUUGUUUCUGGCAAAUUCCCCCUUUCCCAAGUAAACCAAUUUCCAGUAAAUCCCAUAUCCAUCAGAUUGCAUUCCUCCAACACCUUACAAAAAGCUUCCAUUCGCCUCUCCUCUCGUAGUAAAGCUCUUUUUUUUUUGAAGCCAUACAAGAAUUUAUUAAAGUUUCCAUAAACCAUCCAUGGAAGCUCCCCAACAUUCCCUAAUUGUCUUAAAAGAUUCCAUGCUUCAUCUCUCUCUUGGGAAUAAGGAGACCCAUAAAAACCAGUAAACCUCAAUUUGUUUCUUUCAUCCACAUCUUCUAUUAUCACAUCAAUAUGUCAUUUCGAAAAACUUUGAAGCAUUACAUUAUUAUCACCACGCCAAGCCAAACAUAAUCCACCUCUAGAUCUAUUUGAAUCAACAUCGAUGCCAUUGAAAAAACCAUAACUUCUUCGAACAUGUUCCAUCUGACUCCUACUAAUUUUUGUCUCUAUAAAGAAGACCAUUUGGGGAUUAUAUGACUUCAACAAGUGCCAAAGUCUACGAACUGACCGUGGAUUCCCUAAAUCACGGACAUUCCAAUUUAAGAUUUUCAUUACACCCGGCCGGCUUGCCUCUUGGCAGCCGCCGAUGAUAAAUGAUUAAUUUCCCCUAUUCUCAUAUUCCUUACCGCCAAAGUAUUAAUCUCUUCAUUGGCUGGUAAAUCUUCAAUCUCCCCCCGCUUCUCUUUUUGCCCUCCUCUCCAAUUAACACAUCAUCUUCUAGAUCAUGUUCUAUUGAGGCAUGAAAUGACCCACAUAUGAAUUUUCGCCCUUUCUAAGUUAAUCCCCGAUAUUGGAUCUAUAUUAUUCCUGUUCCCCAUAAUUUUUCCUAAACCCCUCAAGCUAUUUCCUAAUAUUUGACUUCCCUCCCAAUUACCACCCUAUUCUCCCUCUCCUUCUUCCUGGAGCCAAACGCUAUUCAUUGCUAAAGCCUUACGAAAUUGUGCUCUUAAUGAUAAAUCCUAUCCCAUUUCAGCAACUUCCACUCCUAAAGCAUUUUCGCUUCACAAAAGGAGUCAUUAUGGCCCAAACGACCACAAUAAAAACAGAAUAGUGAUAAUCGUCCAUAUUUAAAUCUAACAUGAACACUUCCCAAAAAACAUAAUAUGUUUCUUCCUCUUCAAGGGACGCCGUAUAUCAAUUUGGGCUCUUAUUAUCAUAAAAUUUAUAUUUUCUUUUCCCAAAUUUGAGCCAUCAUACUCCAUGAAAGUACCUAUAAAAUUACCUAGUUGCAUCGCCAAAUUUUCAGAGAAAAAAUGAACUGGGAUGUCAUGAAUCUGUACUAAAAAAGGUGUAUAAAUUAAUGGGAUUUUUUAUGGAUCCUCCCCCUAUUGUAACUUAUGUAGCACCAAUAAAUGAUUAUUAAAAGUCCAUGGUGAACCCUUUAAGACCCUCUCCAUAUCCCUAACAUGAGAAAAAUUGAAACAAAUACCUUUUCUUCCUCAGAUCUCAAAUUUGAAGCCCCCGAACAAGAUGCCAUAGAUUUGCCAUGGUACUUUUCAUUGCUGGAAAAUGAAUGAUACUAGCUGUUAGGAAACAACCUACUAGUCGAAAAGCCCUUACCUCUCUUUCCGAAUUUAGGUCGCUUUGUACUUGUAGAACUGCAUCUUCCUCCUCGUUAAUCGUAAGUCCAGCAAAUUCCGCUUCCAUAACAAUGUUUAGAACUCAAUCGUAUGAUUCAACUGAUCAAAAGAGUGAAAGAAAUUUUAAAGAUCUUUCCGCCUUCGACCAAACAAAAGACUAAAAAACAAAAAACCUAAAACUAUUAGAGAAAGCAGACAGAGACGUGCUAGGGUAGCAGACUAUAUUUAUUUUAUUUUUUAAAAAUAAAUAAAACACAAAAAAAAGAUAAAAUAUAAAAAAUUGUCAAACAAAUUCAAAAAAAUCUCAAAAAAUUAAAAAAUAUAAAAAAAUGGUAAGUUGCAUAAAAUUUCUAGAAAUUAAAAAAUAUAUAUGUUUACAAAAACUAAAGUUAAAAAAGUCCAUAAAAAAGUGUCAAAAAAUAGAAAAAAAUUUAAAAAUCAGAAAGAAAAUAUGUAAACUUUAAAACAUUGAAAACAAUUUUUUUUCACUUUGUCCAAUAGUAUACCUGUUCAUGGGCUGGACCAGGCCGGGUCUUGUCAAAAUUUUAGGCCCGAAUCAGGCCCGCCUGCUUCGACUAAAUUAAAUUUUUUAUUAAAAAAUUAAAAAUAUAAUACAUUAAAAAUACUAAAAACACUAAAAUAAAUGUUUCCCAAUAAAUUGAAAAUAAAUUUUAAAAAUAUUUAUACUUAAAUAACACUAAGAUAUGUGUAACUUAACAAGAAAAUGUCCCUAAAAUAGUAACAAAAUUAAAAAUAAAACAAGAGUUAUACAAUAUUCAAAUAAUAACAACAAAAUAAUAGUAAUAUAAUAAUGAAAUUGCAGUAAAACAACAAGAAAAUAGUAAAAAAAACAAUAAGAAAACAUUAGUUCCUUUUUCUUUUUUGUAAAUUCGGGUUGGAUCAAGCCUAGGACAAAAAAAUUUACCCAAGGCUCAACCCGUUUUCUAAACAGGCCUCUUUUUUUUUUUGUCCAAACCCAUUUUUCAGGCCUAUAUUUUUUUCUAAACCCUCUCACUUUUUAGACAGGGAGACUUGGCCCAUGGAUAAGUCUAGCCCAUAGUAUAAUAUAUUUUUAAAUAUUUUGAAUCCAAUAAUCGAAUUUAAAAUUAUCAAUAUAACACAAAACAAAACAACCAAUAUCACACUUUUUAAAAUUUUAUAUUUUCAUUCCAUAUUUUAAAGCUUUUCAUAUUUUUCUGAUUUAAAAAAAAAAGAAGAGUUUUAUGAAUUCUUUUGAUAAUUUUUGUAAUUUGGCUCUUUUUUAUCUUUAUGUAUUUUUUAAACGGAAUUUUUUUAAAUUUCUGGAAAUUUUAUAUAACUUUAAUUUUAUUUUCUGAUUUGUUAAUAUUUUUUGAGAUUUUUCUAAAUUUUUUAGAAAAUUUUUGUAUUCAUCUCUUUUUUUGUGUUUUAUGUAUUUUUUAAAAAAUAAAAAUAAAUAUUUUUUAAAUAUUGGGAUUUUUAUAUAAUUAAAUAUAUACCUUUUUGUUUUUAAAAAAACUUUUGAGAAUUUUUUUGAUUUUACUUUUUUAAAUUUAUUUCUAAAAAAUAAAGUAUAGGUGACUUGGUGCGCUCUCAACGUGUCACGUCACUAGGGGCAAAGCCAAAAAAAUUUUUAGGGAGGGGCUAAAGUUAAAUUGUAAUUUUUAGAAUAGUAAAAAUGUAAUUUCACCAUUUGAAUAACCUGUAUUUUUAUAAUUUUUAGAAGAUUAAAUCAAAUUUGUAUUAUUUUUAGGGGGUCAAACCGUAAUUUUACCUUUAUUAGUUUAAAAUUUUAAAAAUUUUAAAGGGCUUAAAUAUAAAAUUUUUCAUUUUAGAGGAGUCGGACCCUGCAGCCCCAGAUACACCCCCUACAAGUCACUUUUUUUUUAACACCAUUAACGACCAGGGAAAACUGAUAAUGGAUUGGAAUAGAUAAAAAAAAUUAUUUAGGUACCAAAGUGAUAAAUGGGUUCAAAUUUGGGGCAAAUGGUAUAUUAACCCUAGAUGAUAUAUAUAUAAAAGAAGGAGCACGUUGAUUCAUGAUGACACAGAGAAGAGUGCUAUUCAUAAUGGAGUUUGUGUGCAGUUCUAUCUGUACCUUGCAUCUAAGAUGUCCACGUUUGCAUUAUGCAAACAUCCGUUUUGCUCCUCCUCUUUCACUUCACCUUUCAUUUUCUUUCUAUUGUUUUAAAUAAAAAUGAUCUUCCAAAGAAGACACUGCUGCAAACCUAGAAACCUUAUUCCUUGUUCAUGUUAUAAUUGGUAUUGGUAUGUUGAUUCCUUCUUCCUAUUGUAAAAUUUUUAUCAUUUAGUCUCUACUUGAUCGGGAGGGAGCAUUGAAGUAUGUCGGUUUUCUAAUGGAAAGUUCUAACUUUUUCUUUUUGUUAAAAGGUCUGAAUGACUCAAUCUGUCACCCUCUGCUCUUUUGGACUUCUUUGUUUUGCAUUCAACUUAUUACUGUUGUUGUUUUCUGAUAUUUGUUGAAGUUUUUGAAUUAGGGUUUUGCAGAAUUGGUAGUGGGGGUAUUAAAAAGAUAAAUACCAGAGCCAGAAGGAAAAGUCCCAUUGAAGCAAGAAGAAGUAAAUUACUAAUCAUAGUUAACAUGCAAGAACAUUGACAGGGCAUUUUGCAUACCUCUGGGAGCUUUACCUCGUCUACCACCGUAUCUUCCUGCUCCUGUUAGUAGUUUACCAUGCCAUUGGCUCCGUCUGAUCGAAUAGCUCUUUUUGACACGUUUCAAACUGGAAUUCUAAUAUUGGUUUCUGGUUUUGUAGACGUUGAAGCUUUUAGCUAAAGUUGCAGUACUCAAAGAGGAGGUCAUUUGGCUCGAAGAGCAGGUCAUACACUUUAGGCAGGACUUGUAUCGAGAAGUUGUCUGUAAAUCAUUGUUGAAAUGGAAAAUGGAGAAUUCAGCUGAUUGAGAGAGCCUUGUCUGGAUAAUAGUACUAAAUCUCAGCUAUCUACAACGUCAACUCGAAAUACAUGAAUGGCAAGGCAUUCGAGAUCGUUUUCGGGUAAGCCCUUUUGUGGUUUUUAAUUCCUCAUCUUAUGGCAUUAUCAUUUGAUGCAUAUUGGUAUCGAAGUAGGCCGUCUUUCAAGGAAAGCUAGUAGUACCUACUGCAGGCUAAUAUACCAAAGGCUAUCUCAUGUGGCCCAUAGGAGGCCUUAGUUUUCUGAAUCAAUUUUGUCAUUUAAUCAAUGAGCGGCAUGUUAAGGAGCCGUUGCGUAGGCUAGCUCCUGCUCUAUCAUCUGGUUAUGACCUGUUUGGACGCCAUUGAAUAGCAAAUACUAAUUGAAGUUUUGAAUUAAAUUCGAGCAGUCCAAUAUCAGUCCUUCACAUUUAUCCACCACGGCUUGGUAAUACAUCAGCAUUUAGUGAUGCAACAUUCAAACCCAACUAUUCUUAUUCUUCUCUGCCCAAAAGAAGUAUAUAUACUAUAGGUUGAAAUACACCAUAAGUCCUAUGCCCUUAACAAAUUUAGAAUUUAGUUUUUAUUUUAUUUUUAGGAUUUUAGUCUCUCUAAUUUUCAGAUUUCAAAAUGCAAGGCCAAUUAUUAAUGUCGUAACCAUUUUUUGAAAAACGGGAAUCAAUUUGGAUUUUGAAAAUGAACACAAAAGACGGGAGUCGCCACCGAUCCUUUUUGACUAGGUGUGAUCGGGUCACCUCGUUAAAGUGGUUGUUUUUAAUAAAUAACUUGAUUUAUUUAAACAACAAUUUUGGUCUACGCAAAUCAAGAAAAUAGGUUCGGGAGUCGGUUACGCACGAGGAAGGAUUAGCACCCUCGAUACGCCCAAAAUUGGGACCUAGUUGAUUAAUUAGUGUCUUAGUGUCGAAGAAUGAAAACUUGGAAGACUUUUGAAAUACGAUCCCUCUUUAUAAAGAAAAUGCUUAAAUAUUAAAGAUCUUCUCGUCUCAAAUAUGAAAUGUCAUAUCCAGUGAGUUAGGACACAUCUUGAAUUUUCGAGAGCGAGCUUGCCUUUUGUAAAAUCUGUGUAUUUUAAAGGGUAUUCGAUUAUUUAGAGUGAACGAGAGAAAUCGAAACCCAGUAAGUUAGGGCACGUUUUCUCGAAUUUUCAAACACCGAAUAUUGCCUUUAUUCCAAAACAAAUUCUUAUUUCGAGAUGACAAAAUGUCAUACCCAGUAAGUUAGGGCACAACACUUCGCAUCUUCGAGAAUAAGUAUUUUCAAAACUCGUAUAAUGAUUUAAAAAUAAUAUAUUCUGUUAUUUAGGUUAAAUGAGAAAAGUCGAAACCCAGUAAGUUAGGGCACGAUUAUCUCGAAUUACCUAAUACAGGAUAUUGCUUUUAUGAAAGAAUUGUUUGAAUAUAUUGAGUGACAAAAUAUAACGUGAUUUAUAAAAGUAAAUUUUGGUAUUAAUAAUAAUGUAUAAUAAUGAGCGUGACGAUAUCAAAAUAAUAAUGUGAGCAAUUACAUAAAAAUGAAAUAAUAGCAAGCCUAGUAAUGUGUAAAUAUAGACAAACGCAUGAGGAAAAUAAAACCAUCGAAUAAAAAUGCAUAUAACAUGACAAAAGAAAAAUGGCAAUGAUGACGAAAACAAUAAUAGCAAUAGUAUAAAACGAUAAUAAUACAUAUGGUAUUGAAAUUUAUAUAAUAAUGGAAACAAAACAAACAAAACAAACAAAAAUAUAUAUGAUAUAUUAAAAAUAUACGGGAUAUAUAUAUAUGAAAUGAGUACAUAAUAGUCAUAAAAAUAUACAUAAUAGAAUGUACAAACAAUAUGAUAUUUACAAUGUAUAUGUACAUAAUAUAUAUGAUAUGUAUAAUAUUAAUAUACAUGUGCAUAAUAUGGAGUAUUAUAUAUAUAUAUUAGAAGGAUGUAUGUAUGAUAUACAAAUGCAUUAACAAAACAAUAAUACCAAAAAUUAAUAAUAAUAUAUAAAUGUAGACGUAUAUGUAUAGGUUAAAAAUAUAUACACAUAUAAUAAUACAUACACUAACAUUAUUAUUAAAUAUAAUGGGGGUAAAAAUAGAUAUAACAUAUACGCGUAUAGUAUGGUAUUUAAAUGCGUAUACAUGAAAUAUAUAUUGGGAAUAAUAAUAAUAUAUAAACAUAUAAAAUAUAUAUGUAAGUGUUAAAUGGAAAGUAAAAAGAUUACUAAAUAAUAGUAUAAACAUGAUAAUAAUAACAAUGAGAAUAAUAAAUAAAAUGAUAAAUAAUAUUUAGAAAAUAAAAAAAGGGCAAAAAUAAUAUAAAAAACGUAUUAAAUAUGAAAAAGGGACUGAAUUCGAAACAAAAUAAAGAUUCGGGGCCGAUUAAAAAAUAAUAAAGGAGAAAUGGACUAAUUUGAAAACGCGCGCGACUGCGGAGGGCCAAAAAGGAAAUUUUCCCGAGCCCUUAAAACGCAUCACUGAAGGGAGGGCCAAAUCGCAAUAUGCGACAAACUUCUGGGUUAAUUUAAAAUAAAUAAGAACUUGAUUGCAAAAUAUACAAAAAGUGGAAGGACUGCGCAAGCAAUUAGACCAUGCUUGCAAAAACACGCGGAUCCUUCGGGCAGACGGGUCGGGUCGUGGAUCGGGUCGCUAAACGACGUCGUUUUGGGUGCUGAAUGCACGCCCCAAAACGACGUCGUACCGGGGGCCUUUAAAAGUCAAGUUUUUUUUUUAAAACUUCAUUUUUCAUUCCUUUCAGCAAAAAAAAAGGGCUGAAAACCUCUCUCCCUCUCUCCUUUCUCUGCAGCGAUCCCAGAAACCGGCGAAGAACCGACCGUCCGCUGCCGUGUUAUCCGCCAUGCCGGCCACCGUACGCGGUGGCUGAAAAUCACUCCAGGUAUGAUUUUUUUUAUAUUUUUUUUGCUGUAUUUUACACGGUGGCCGGAAAUCACUCCAGGUAUGAUUUUUUUUAAUAUUUUUUUUGCUAUAUUUUAGUGCUUAUGAAUAUGUAUGUAUAUAUUAUUUUUAGUGUAAAUCAAACGAAAAAAAUAUUUAGAAAAUAGAUCCGAAAGAGAAUAGUUAAACCUUGCCUUGCGCUUCUUUGAACUCCGUUCGAUUUUUCGUUGCAACUUUAUGCCUAUGUUUUCGAUCUGUUUUUGUUUUUUGGUCUAAUGUUGCUUAUUAUUUUUACUGAAAAAUGCCCGAGUGACUACAUGGUUUUUAGAUUUGGCUUUUAAAUAGCCAUUACAUUUCUUUGUUUUGCUUUAUGUCACUUCCCGUUUAAUGCUUGCAGGAGCGCAACUUGGACGACAGUGGGGCGGUGCUGUAGGCGUCGGUGGAUGGGACAGGGGUCAGAGGCUGAACGGCUAGGGUUUUAGAUUUUCUUUCAUUUUUCUUUUUCUAUUUUGUGUUUGGGCCAUGUGGGUUUAGUGGGUUUUGGGUAGGUUAUUUGUGUUGGGUUUGGGAUUUUGUUAGGUUUAGUGGGUUGUUUAGUGGGUAUUUAGGGGUUAGUGGGUUUUAUUUGGGCCCCAAAAUUGGGCUGUACAGCUGCCCCUCUUUGCUUGUUGUCGUGUAAUGAGAACAAACCAAAGACUUAAGAAAGACCAAUUUUGCCCGGUCGCUGAGUCUUGACUUCUUUGGUGCUCUUAUUCUUCAGGUAGCUUCAUUCCAGUCUACUGCGGCUCGUCACUUUACUCCGCUCCAUUGCAACUUCGGAGAAACAAGACUUGUGAUUUGUAGUCUCAAUCUGUUCCUUCGCAACUUCAAGGAGAUAAGAUUCACUAGCUUCAGUCUAUUCCACUACAGUUUCAAGGAGGUGAGACAUGUGACUUCAAUCUACUCCGUUGAAACUUCGAGGAGAUCUGUUGUGGCUUCUAACCUCUCCAGUGCCAUUUCAAGGAGAAGAGAUUUGUAAUUUCUAGCCUGUUACCCUACGGUUUAGGGGGUUAAGGCUCACCGUUUUUUAUCUGCUCCACUACUGCUUAGGGAGGUAAGAUUUAUAAAUUCAGCCUGUUACCUUACUGCUUAGGGGUUUAAGGCUCUUUUACCUUCGAUCUAUUUCUCUGCUACUGAGGGAGAUAAGAUCUGCAAUUCUGUCUGUUACCCUACUCCUUAGGGGUUUAAGACCUAUCGCAUUCGAUCUGUUUCCCCAUUGCUUAGGGUGAUAAGAUCUUCAAAAUUCAGCUUGUUACCCUACUGCUUAGGUGUUAAAGCUCGACCUGUUUCCCUACUGCUUAGGGGUUUAGAUAUGUAAAUUCAACCUGUUACCCUACUGCUUAGGGGUUUAAGGUUUGAAAAUUUGGCUUGUUACCCUAUUGCUUAGGGGGUUGAAGCCUAUCACUUUCGAUCUGUUUCCCUAUUGCUUAGGGGGUAAGAUCUGUAAAUCUUCAGUCUACUCCACUGCGACUUCAGGGAGAUGAGACUUGCUAGAUUCGAUCUGUUCCACUGCAACUUCAGGGAGACAAGAUCCGUAAUUUUUAGCCUAUUACCCUACUGCUUAGGGGGGCUAAGGUCUGUAAAUUUAACCUGUUACCCUACUGCUUAGGGGUUUAAGGUUUGGUGAAUUCACUGAUUCUAGGGACAUGACCUGUAGAAUCAGCUCCAUGUAUUUAUGUUUAUGCCAAAGAAUUAGGAUGCUAUGAUUAAAGUGAAUCAAAUGCUCCUAAUUAGAUACAUUAUGAAUGAUCUAUGAAUGUAUGAAUGCAGCAUGUUGUGAGCGUGAAUCCUUGUUUAGGCUGCCAUUACUCUUUGUUCAUCAAGGUUCCUUCACUGAAAUGGUACCCUGUCUUUUUGUUCAGCUCCAAUUUGAACAGAAGACCUGAAGAGGUAGUCCCAAUUUAAACUCUUUCUUCUCAGAUGUUUCCGAUCUUUGAGUUUAGUUAGUUCUAAAAAAAUAGUCCUGUUUCAUGUUCCUGUACUAUUUAGAAACUUUCAGAAUAAUAUACAGAACUCUUUUUGUGAAAAUGGCUUUAGUCCAUUAAUCCAUCAUUUCAAUGCAAAAUGCUUGAAAAAGAUCAUAAUAAUGACAAAACUGAAAUUUAUCAGAAACAACAUUUGAAGGGAAUAGAUUAAUCACAGUCAACAAACAUUGCUGGAAUAAAAAAUGAAUAAAAGGGAAUAGGUACCCCAGAUAUCGCAGCGUGAGUUUUUCUGUACUGACUUCUUGAGGACUCAUUUUUUGCCCAAUAUGUGUUUAGGGGAUCUAGAGUACUCUUGCAGAUGUCCUAAGAUGUAACAUCUCUCAUCCUUGCUAAUUUAGGUACCAUAAGACCAUCACAUGCCCCACCUUUGAUCAAAAUUUUAAUCGCCCUUUACGGGUUUUCAAUUCAAAAUCCUUUUGGUCUCAAGGUGCUCUUUGCGAGUUUUCACCUUGGCCUCUCUUUUUUUUUAGGCGAAGUAUUUCUUAACCGAAUUCGAAUUCACGGGAUUGGAUAAAGUCUUGCCAUCCAUUUCAGCCAAUAUCAAUGCUCCGCCAGAAAAGGCUUUCUUCACCACAUAAGGCCCUUCCCAAUUUGGCAUCCAUUUUCCUCUAAAGUCCUUUUGUGUAGGCAGGAUCUUUUUCAGUACUAGAUCUCCUUCGUGGAACUCUCUGGGACGAACCUUUUUGUUGUAAGCUCGCACCAUUCACUUUUGGUACAUCUGACCAUGGCGAAUAGCCCGUAGCCUCUUUUCUUCAAUCAAAUUCAACUGAUCGUAUCGGGACUGGAUCCAUUCUGCUUCAUCCAACUUUACUUCUGACAAAACUCUGAGGGAAGGAAUCUCGACCUCAAUAGGUAAAACUACCUCAAUCCCAUAAACUAAUGAGAAAGGCGUUGCCCCAGUAGAAGUUCUGAUAGACGUUCGAUAAGUAUAGAGGGUGAAUGGUAGCUUCUCAUGCCAAUCUUUAUAAGUUUCUGUCAUCUUUCCUACAAUCUUCUUGAUGUUCUUAUUGGCUGCUUCGACUGCACCUUUCAUCUUCGGGCGAUACGGUGACAAGUUGUGAUGUCUGAUCUUGAACUAACUGCAGACAUCCGCUAUCGUGCUGUUGUUCAAAUUCAAUGCGUUGUCAGAUAUGAUCCUUUUCGGCAUUCCAUAUCGACAGAUGAUUUCCUUUUUCAGGAACUUGCUAACUGUUGAUUUAGUGACAUUGGCAUAUGAAGCGGCCUCCAUCCAUUUGGUGAAAUAAUCGAUGACCACAAAGAUGAAACGAUGCCCAUUUAAAGCUUUUGGUGAAAUUGGCCCAAUCACAUCCAUGCCCCACAUCGAAAAAGGCCAUCGCGAAGUCAUGACAUGCAGAGGUGAGGGAGGUAAAUUAAUCUUGUCUCCAUAGAUUUUGCACUUAUGACAUCUUUUGGCGUAGUUAAUAUAGUCUCCUUCCAUGGUGGACCAAUAAUAACCGAACCUCAUAAUUUGCCUAGCCAUUGUAAAACCAUUAGCAUGUGUCCCACAGACGCCCUCAUGGACUUCUUCCAAGAUUUUCUUAGCCUCAAUGGCGUCUACACAUCUUAAUAGUACCUGAUCCUUCCUUCUUUUGUACAGGAUCUCCCCAUCUAAGACAUAGUCACUGACCAGUCUUCUCAACAUUCUUUUGUCGUUCUUAGUAGCUUGGUCGGGGUACUCGCGAUUCUUCACAUAUCGUAGGAUAUCGUGGUACCAAGGGCGAUCAUCAUUUUCCUCUUCUUCUUUGAGGUUGUAACAAUGAGCCGGGGCCUCGUAAAUGCUCAUUUGGAUUGGUUUCACAUCCUCUGGUUGGUUCACCUUAAUCAUAGAAGCUAAAGUUGCUAGGGCAUCAGCCAUCUGAUUUUCUUCUCGUGGGAGGUAGUAGAAGAUAAUAUCAUCAAACUCUUUAAUUAACUCAAGGAUCAACCUCCGAUAAUUGAUCAAUUUGAGGUCUCUUGUCUCCCAUUCACCUUUGAGUUGAUAAAUCACUAGGGCAGAAUCUCCAUAUACCUCUAACACCUUGAUUUUACAUUCUAUGGCCGCACGUAUUCCCAUGAUGCAUGCUUCGUAUUCUGCCAUAUUGUUCGUGCAGUCAAAAUUCAAUUUACUAGUGAAUGGAUAAUGAUCUCCGUUCGAGGACACCAAAAUUGCCCUGAUUCCGUUACCCAUGGCAUUUGAUGCUCCGUCAAAGUUUAGCUUCCAAAGGUGACCUUGAGGGUCUUCUUCAGUGGUUGCUAUGCACAUUAGAUCUUCAUUUGGGAAAUCAAAGUUCAGAGGCUCGUAGUCCUCUAGGGCUCUGCUGGCUAAGAAAUCUGCUAUCGCACUCUCUUUUACGGCCUUCUGGUUCACAUAGACUAUAUCGAAUUCAGAAAGUAGAAUUUACCAUCGGGCCAUUCUCCUGUUCAAGGCAGUCGACUCCAUCAAGUACUUUAGAGGAUCCAUUUUAGAGAUCAGCCAAGUUGUAUGGUACAACAUGUAUUGUCUCAGUCUUCGGGUUGUCCAAAUCAAGGCACAGCACAACUUUUCAAUGAACGAGUAUCUCGUCUCACACUCAGUAAACUUUUUUACUAAGGUAAUAUAUCGCUCUUUCUUUCCUUCCCGAUUCAUCGUGUUGGCCAAGCACGCAUCCCAUAGAAUUUUCAAAUACCGUCAAAUACAGUAUCAGUGGCUUAUCUGGAUUAGGUGGUGUCAACACUGGGGCAUUAGACAAAUAUUGCUUAACUUUUUCGAAGGUCUUCUGGCAUUCCUCGUCCCAACCACCAGGGUUGUGUUUCUUAAGGAGAUGGAAUAUAGGGUCACAUUUCUCGGUUAGUUGUGAAAUAAACCAAGCGAUGUAAUUUAGUCUUCCUAGGAAUCCUCGAACUUCCUUCUGAGUGCGUGGUGGAGGUAACUCUUGUAUGGCUUUGACUUUGUCUGGGUCAAUCUCAAUCCCUUUUCCACUGACCACGAUUCCUAGCAGUUUUCCUGACCUGACUCCGAAGGUACAUUUUACGGGAUUGAGUUUCAACUGGAAUUUUCUCAACCUCAAAAAUAAUUUCCUCAAGACUUGCACAUGCUCUUCUUCUGUCCGAGAUUUGGCGAUCAUGUCGUCGACAUAGACUUCAAUUUCUUUAUGCAUCAUAUCAUGAAAUAGGGUUACCAUGGCUCUCUAAUAUGUUGCUCCUGCAUUUUUCAAUCCGAAUGGCAUUACUUUAUAGCAAAAGGUUCCCCACAUGGUCACAAAUGUGGUUUUAUUCAUUUCUUCAAGAUGCAUCUUGAUCUGAUUGUACCCCGAGAAACCAUCCAUGAAGGAGAAGAGUGAGUAACCUGCCGUGUUGUCCACUAAGGUGUCGAUAUGAGGCAACGAGAAAUUAUCUUUCGGGCUGGCCUUGUUUAAGUCUCUGUAGUCUACACACAUCCGUACCUUUCCAUCUUUUUUAGGGACGGGGACGAUGUUGGCUACCCAUUCCGAGUACUUAACUACUUGUAAGAAACCAGCAUCAAAUUGCUUCUUGACUCCUCUUUUAUCUUCAACAGAACAUCGGGCCGCAUCCUUCGAAGCUUUGCUGAACUGGCUUGCAUUCUUCUUUGAUGGGGAGUCUGUGUACCACAAUGUCAGUACUUAGCCCAGGCAUAUCUUGAUAUGACCAUGCAAAGACAUCUUUAAACUCUUGGAGUAACUCAAUAAGGUCCCGCUUUGUCUCUGUGGUGAUGCAAGCUCCGAUCUUUACUUCUCUCCUUUCUAGUUCAUCUCCCAAGUUUACGACUUCUACGGUCUCUUUGUGGGGUAGAAUCUAUUUCUCCUCGUGUUCUACCAUUCUUAACAAAUCAGGGGAUAAGUUACAGUCUCCAUCAUCCUCAAAGUCUUGGGAUCCCUCCAGACACAUAUCUCGCUCAAAAGGAGAUUCUGAAUUAGUAGCAACGUCACUCGCAUCAUUGAUAUCUGGAGACCUGUUGUAGGUGUGAAGGAAGAUGCAAAGAACAAGAGAAUCUAAGAACAAUGAUAUGUUUGGUAUGAUCAUGAAUGAAAGAAUAAAAGAAUAUUUGUACGGAAUAAGUCAAAAGGAUGCAUUUCAUUGAAAUAACGAUUUCGAACAUAAGCCUAUUUCACAAAAUGACACUUGUUACUCCUAGGCCUAGAGCAAUAAGUGUGUUUUGGACAUUACUCUGAGUUAGUUCUAAAGACUACAGGAAUCUCUUCUGCAGUCCAAUUAUUCAGAACACUUCCCGGCUCAUAGGGGCGAAUGCUUGACAAAUUCUCUACCCCCGUCCCUUCUUCAUAUGUGGCGUUGAUGUCCAAACUCUCCAUCAUUCCUUCCAAGAUUUCCUUUCCCGACGUCUUCCGCUCGGAGUGAAUGACCCCUCCAGACACAAAAGUGUUCGAUAUAUGGGGGAAGAUCAUUGGUUCCCAUUCGAUUUCUCCUCCGCUCAAUCGCACUCUCCUUCUUUCUUGCUUCUUCUCAAGUUCUUUCUUUCUUUGUUUCAUGUCCGGCUUAAACCCUAACCCAAAACGGUCUUGUUUGUCCUUCAUCCUUGGUACAUUAAUCCUUCCUUAAAGGUAUCUCCCGAGUCCUUCCGGGUAGAGCCCCCUUUCCAACAGUUAACCGUAGUCCCAUUCUUGUAGUCUCAGAUAACCUAGGCAUUGGAAUCUUAUUUCCUUCAAUGAUGAACGUCGCGUUCACAAACUCCAAAGAUCGAAAAGAGCACUCGAUCGCUUCAUCAUUUGUCUCCAAAUAUGGGGCAUCACUGGUUAUUGCAGCGAUGAUGUCCUCUUCAGCAUUGAUUGUUACUAACCGACCUUCGGUCACUAAUUUCAACUUUUGAUGCAGCGAUGAAGGGACUGCCCCCGCUGAGUGUAUCCAUGGCCUCCCCAAUAGGCAAUUGUACGAAGGCUUAAUGUCCAUGACCAAGAGAUCUACCUCGUAUGUGCUCGGCCCGAUUAAGAGGGGUACUUCAAUUCUCCCCAUUACCCUCCUUUUCGUGCCAUCAAAUGCUCUCACUACACUUUGGCAUGUCUUCAUAUGGGAACUAUCCACUGGCAACCUACUCAGCGUAGAUAGGGGUAGGACAUUCAGUGCAGACCCAUUGUCAAUCAAUACCCCCGAUAAUGUGUACCCUUUACAGCGAGUCUUGAUAUGCAAAGCUUUAGUUGAUCCUCGGCCCCCUGGCGGUACCUGAUCGUCAUUGAAGAAUAUGAAGUUGUCGGCAUUUAUAUUGUUGACUAAGCGGUCUAGUUUGUUUACAGAGAUAUCGUUAGCAACAUAAGUUUCAUUCAGCACCUUCAUCAAUGCGCUGCGAUGAGUUUCGAAACUUAAAAGUAAGGCCAGUACCGAUAUACGCGCUGGCUGUUUGUGCAACUAUUCUACGACACUAUAUUCGCUGUGCUUUAGGAAUUUUAAGAAUUCCUUGGCUUCUUUUUCAGUCACUGAUUCAUUAACAGUUGGUUCAUGCCCCGCCGGCUUCUCUUUCUUUUGCUCAAUUGCUAAUGAUUUUUCUUUAACCUGCUCGACUUUUGUAUUUGGGGUAUAACGCCUUCCGCUGCACGUAUAAAAACCUUCAUCUUGAACUUCCUCUGAUGCAUUAAUAGGGGUCUCCUCUCCCAGGAAUGUCACAUUGCAGCUAUAGUUCCACGGUACCAUUUUGCUAUCUUUAUAAGGAAAAGCAACGGGCUUUUGGAUCACGACCUUUGGCGCAACUCGUGCCCCAGCUUCAUUCAUUCUCGGACGUGAUAUGAUAACCACUGGGUGGUUGACUUUGUGAACAUCCUUCAUCGACCCCUCUUCGGAGGCACACACAUCUGUUUCUCCUAGGCUGCCGACAUAUUUGAAGAAUUCCAGCUCCUUAUUAUCCAUCAAUCCUUGUAUUAAAGCCCUGAAUUGGCUGUAUUUUUUGAUCUCAUGAUCCACUUGAUUGUGGAACUCACAAUAAUUCUUCGCUUCUCAAGGCCUGACCCUCAAAUUCUGUGCUAUCAAACCUCUUUCUACCAUUUUCUUUCAUACUUCUUUCAACGGGGUAUUCACUUCUGCAAUAUUCAUCUUAAUUUCUUUCCCCGAACUCUCAAUUAUCGCAUUUAUUCCCUUAUCCCCAUGGUUAGGUAAUGGAUUCUCUGCACUGGAUGUAUCAUCAAAUUUCACAAUCCCCAUGUUGAUGAGUCUCUCAACCAAUUUUUUUAAAGUGGUACAGUUUUCUAUCGAGUGUCCUGUGGCUCCCGCAUGGUAUUCGCAUUGGGCAUUUGCGUCAUACCAUUUGGGGUAUGGAGGUUGCAUUGGCUUUAGAUAGAAGGGAGACACGACAUGUGUAUCAAAUAAACUCUGGUAUAACUCCUUGUACGUCAUUGGAAUGGGCGUAAUUGAAGUUUCUCCCUAUUUUGUUUUGUGUUGGGCUCUUGUCUGGGUGGGCCCUGCUGUCCAGUAGUUGUCGACCUUGGUUGGCUUAGGUGAUCGAUUUCGAAUAUGAGCUCACAUUAUUCACCUCGUGCUCUUUCUUUCUCGGCGCUGACCUCUUAGCAUUUUUUCCAGCCUCUAUUUUCCCACUUCUUAUGGCAUUUUCUAUCAUUUCUCCAGACAUUACUAUGUCCGAAAAACUCUUGGUUGCGCUACCCAGCAUAUGGUUAAUAAAAGGUGCCUUCAGGGUAUUGAUGAAGAGCAUAGUGGUUUCCUUUUCCAACAGAGGGGGUUGGACCUGUGUGGCCACUUCUCUCCAUCACUGGGCGUAGUGCCUAAAGCUCUCAUUAUGCUUCUUCUCCAUAUUCUGUAAAGUGAUUCUAUCAGGGGCUAUGUCUGCCACAUGACCGUACUGCUUCAUGAAGGCUUGUGCUAAAUCUUUCCAUGAACUGAUCUGGGUGCGACUCAGCUGGUUGUACCAUCUAGAAGCGGCCCCAACCAGACUUUCUUGGAAGCAGUGAAUUAAUAGCUGGUCAUUGUUGACAUGGCCCGCCAUUCGUCUGCAGAACAUAGUGAUGUGAGCUUCGGGACAGCUAGUCCCGUUGUAUUUCUCAAAUUCCGGAGUUUUGAACUUGGGUUUUGAACUAGAUAAAUUAGCUAAGUUAUACAUUUUCGAUAUUGUGAGAUUGCACGGGGUGCCUUUGUUUAUUUUGUCAGAUAGAGAUACAAGAUUCACUUCGUGGUUUUAGAAUAAAUUACAAGAGACUUUGGGUACAAAAUUACACUUCAGUACUGCUUUUCACCUGCAGACGAAUGGUUAAUCUAAGCAAAUUAUUCAGAUUCUCGAGGAUAUGUUGAGAUGUUGCAUUCUUGAGUUUGAUGGUACUUGGGAACAGUAUUUUUCAUUGAUUGAAUUUACUUAUAAUAAUAGUUUUCAAUCGAGCAUUAAAAUGGCACCGUACGAAGCCUUAUAUGGUAGAAAAUAUCGUACACCAUUGUAUUAGUUAGAUCUUAGUGAAAAUAAGAUAUACAGGAUCGACUUGAUUAAAAAGACUGAACAAAAAGUAAAAAAAAUCUGAGAAAGUCUGAAAGUAGCUUCUGAUCAUCAGAAAUCAAAUGUAGAUUUGAAACGAAAAGAUAUUGAAUUUAAGAUCGGCGAAAAAGUGUUUCUAAAAGUAUCCCCGUGUAAGAAAACACUCCGAUUCAACAAAAUAGGCAAAUUGAGUCUGAGGUUCAUUGGACCGUUUGAGAUUAUUGAGCGGACCGGACCAGAUGCAUAAAGAUUUCUAUUGCCACCUGAGCUAGAAAAUAUCAACAAUGUAUUUCAUGUAUCGAUGCUUUGACGAUAAAGAUCUAAUCCUUCACAUGCAAUUACUCCAUCCGAAAUAGAAAUUCAGUCCGAUAUGACAUAUGAAGAAGAAUCGAUCUGUAUCUUAGCUCACGAGAUUAAAGAAUUGAGAAAUAAGAAAAUUUCAUUAGUAAAAGUAAUGUGGAAUUGGCACGGUGUUGAAGAAGCUACGUGGGAGCCCGAAGAUGUUAUGAGACGGCAAUAUCUUACACUAUUCAAUGGUAAGAUUUUCGAGGAUGAAAAUCCCUAAGGGCGGAGAGUUGUAACAUCCCGGUUUAGACCCUAGUUGGAAUACUAGUUUCGGGACCACAAAUUUGAGUUAGAAAAAUAUUUUUAAUAUUAUUUUAUAUGCUUAUAAUAUGUGAAUUGAUAUCUGUAAAAGUUUCGUGUGAAAUUUUGUUCGUUUGUGUGCUUAAUUUAGAAAAAGGACCUCACCGCAUAAAAAUUAAAAGUGGCUAGCUAUUUGUUGAAAGUACUUAAGUGCUAUGUCUUGUUAAAGGAGACGUCCUGAUGAUGUUAUUAGACCAUAACUAAGGUUAAUGGACAUUAAUGACCAUCCAUUAAAUGUUUUAAAUGGUUAUAAAUAAGGUUAAUAUGGUAAUUAGCAUAUUAUGUUAAUAUAAUUAAAACAAAACAUUAAAUGGGCCAAUAUGUUCAUCAUUUAGCCGAAAUUGAAGAAAGAAAAAUAGGGUUCCAAGCCUUCAAACAUUCGGCACUUAUUUUGGCUAAUUAGGUAUAUGUUUUUUAUCCAUUUUUGAUAAUUUCUACAUUUUUGUGAUCGUUGCUUUGUGUUUUAUCAAGCCCAUGCCUCAAUUUUUGAAUUUGAUUAUGAUUUUAAGAUGUGCCACUGUUGAUAAAGUGAGUUUUAUGAAGUUUGAUGAUAGAAAAUGAAAGAUAUGUGUUAGAUUACUAUGUUUUGUAUUGGGAUUUUUGAUGAAUUUGAGAAUUUUGGACUAAAUUUUGAAAAUGUGAAAUUGAGGGGUUAAAAUGUGAAAUAAAUGAAAUAAUUGGGCUUAUAUGAACGAAAGGAGAAUUCGGCUAGGCAUGUGUGAAAUGAAAUUAUGCAUAUUAGGUGAUGUUAUGAAAUAGGGACUAAAAUGUUAAAAUGUGAAAAUGUGAAAAUGUGAUGGCUAAUUUAUAAAAUGCCCUAAAUAUGUGCUUAUGGAUUGAUUUGAAUAAAUAUGAGAUUGAAUAAGUCAAAUUUGAAUGUGUUUAGAUCAAGAUCCAAAGAAAACGAAAUUAGAUCGAGGAAAGUCGAAAGUCGUUGAAUAGUCCUUCAUUUCCGUACGAGUGAAGUCUAUAUACAAAUAAAUGUGUUUGAAUUGAUUUAUUAAUGUUUAUAUGAUAUUGAAUUGUGAUGAAUGGUUAUAGAAGUUGAAUAUGUGAAAUUGAGAAAGUUUCGAUAACAUAACGAAGUCCGAAAGCCUCGUACGAACCAUAGGAAUAUUUAGGAUACAUAUGUCAUGACAUAAGAUUUUCGAUAUGUGAUUUCGUGUAAGACUACGUCUGGGACGUUGGCAUCGAUUUGAGAUUUAUGUGUAAGACCAUGUUUGGGACAUCGGCAUCGUAUUUGAUUUCGAGUAAGACCCUAUCUGGGAUAGUGGCAUCGAUAUCUGAUUACAUGUAAGACCACGUCUAGGACGUUGGCAUUAUACGAGCUUUCCGCGUAUCCUAUUUAAUUUGUACAGUUCAACGGGCAUUCUGGGAAAUACAUGAUUGCAUGAAUGAAUAACCGAUUCAGGUAUGUAGAGAUGUGUUCAACAUUUCUUAAUGAGAAGUAAGUAUAUGUGCAAGAGAUGAUAUGUGAUAUAAGUAUGAGAAAUUAUGCUAUAUGUGCAAUGAAUUGGAAAUAUGUGAGAUGUAUAUGAACUAUGUGUUUUGUGAUAGUAUUUGGUUAUGGAGUAUAUGUAUUUUAUGAUGCUUACAUGCUUAAAAUGAUAAGUUGAUUUGUAUAUGGCUUACUAAGCUUUUAAAAGCUUACUCUAUGUGUGUUUGCAUUGUGUUUUAGAUAUCGAAGGUACUAAAGGCUCGGGGAUCGUCAAGGAUCAUCACCACACUAUCGAACUCUACUUUGGUACCUUUUGAAAGUGUAAAUAUUUAAGUAUGGCAUGUAUAGUCUAGUUAAGUUGAGAUAUGUUUUUGAGUUAUGAAUAUUUAGCCAUGUAAUAAGGCUUGGUUUUGGUUGUGUUUAUGAAUGAAUUUUGAGUAUAAACUAUGUGAUGCAAUAUUUCCAAUAUGAUGUGUUCAUGGGUGGCCAAAAAGAAUUGGUCAAUUUGGUAAGAUUUUGGUAUGUGCUUAUUUGAGGAAUUGGUAAGAUUAUGGCAUGAGAAUGAAUGAAGUAAAUUGAGGUUAUGAAACAUAUGUUUUGGUAUGACUUUGGCUUAUGAUUUGGCAUGAUUUGAUAUGGAUUAUAAGCAUGAAUUAGGUUGAUAAUAAUAUGACAUGAAUGAUGUAUGUUUUAGGAAGGAAAUUGGUUGAAAUUAUGGUGCAAUUGAUGCUUGUAGGGAGGACCCAAAAUGGGUGGCAUAUUGGCCUUAUAAAUGGUCUAUUUUUGCCCACACGGGUAGGGACACAGGCGUGUGUCUCUGCCGUGUUGCUUGAAGGCCAUUUUGAAAUGAGCCUGGGUAGACCACAUGGUCGUACACACGUACGUGUGCCAAGCCGUGUGGCUAAGUCAGUUUCGAGCACAGGCUAGACACACGGGCGUGUGACUGGCUGUGUAACCCAAGUCAGUAGUCUCCCUAAUUUUCACAUGGCCUAGCACACGGGCGUGUAUUGUGGCCUUGUGGACAAGUUAUAUUUCGCCACGACCUAGACACACGGGCACACGGCCUGUUCACACAGGCAUGUGACCUUUGUAACUUAGAAAAAUUGUUAAAUUUCAGAAAAAAAUUUGUAUGUAUUCGAUUUAGUCUCGACCUUUUUCUAAUGCAUGUUUAAGGUUUUCUUGACCUAAGAAAGGGACCUUAUGUUGAUAUUUGACUUUCAUAUGAUAAUGUAUGAUUUUUAAUUGUGAAAUGAUUACGAAAUAUUUUGAUAUGUCCGGUAAUGCCUCUUAACCCUAGUCUGACUAUGGAUACAGGUUAAGGGUGUUACAUGUGUAACUCACUGACUUGGGUCACAUGGCCAAGCCACACGCCUGUGUGCCAGGCCGUGUACCCCUUAAAAUGACCUCAUGUGCCCAUGUACCAGGCUGUGUGUUAGGCCGUGUAACUGUCUGAAUUGAAUGCUUUGAACCUACAAGGGACACACAGUCAUGUUGCUUGGUUGUGUGUGACCAUGUGUCACACACGGCUGAAACACACGCCCAUGUCUCGGGCCAUGUAACCUUAAAAUGAAUCUUAAAACACAAGUUUACCAUUUCAAGUUUGCUUGUACCUUAAAAAACUCAAAUACCAACCAAAAUACUAAUUCAAAAUGACAUUAAUCGAGCCAAAAACACAUCAAACCAACUAAUAAGUGCCUAACCAAUGUACCCUCAUUAGUACCACAAUUAUAUACAAUUUAAUGUCCAAACAUAUCAAUUCAACCUAUCAAUUCAAUCAAGCUAUUGUCUAUCAAUACCAUCUCAAACAUACCAUAUCUUACUACAUAAUAACCCAUUCAUCACGUACUCUUUUAACUAUUCCAACAAAUAUCAUUUAGCCUUGCUAACACAUAUUAAUAAAGCACCAAAAGUACCAAAAAGGAGAUCAACCAAAACAAUUUAUACAACUAAGUUAAUAAUUAACUAUUUACAUAUCCAAAACAUUAGUAACAUCAUUCAAAUGUACUACAUGCCAUAUAAUUUGAAAUAAACGUUCCAAAAACUACCAAAUUUAGCUGGAUAAUGUGACUUGAUACUGAUCCAAUCAUCCAACCUUCUGAGUAUCUACAAGAACAAAGUUUAACAUGAAUAAGCUCAAUAAAGCUUAGUAAGUUCGACAUAUUAGGAUGAUAAAUCUUACCGAAGUAAAUACAACAAAUCAAACAUUAACAGUUCAACCACGAAAGUUCCCUGCCAUCCACAAUCUCAUCCGAUGAAUCACUAUCAAUUAAAUUCUCAAUUGUAUAGUAAACCCAUUAAAAUCAUUACACAAAUUACCUUACCGAGAUUUUCAACUCGAAGAACGGCUUACGAAUAUAAGUACAUCGUCAUCCACACAAAACACACCAGAAACUCACACGAGCCAAUCCCUCCAGCACACCAAUGCUCAGAAGAACUAAUCCAACCAUCACACUAGUGAUCUUAAGAGUUAAUCCAACCAUAACACCAGUGCUUAUAAGAGCUAGUCCAACCAACACACCAAACAAAGAGUAUAACACAAGAGUUCACAACAAAUACUGAACCUCAGGCUACUCGGGAAACAUGAAUGUACGCCACUCCAUAACCAUCUACACUCCAAUCCCCCUUAACACACCAAAUCUUGACCGUACUCUAUCCCGCGUUCAAGCCGAAUCGAACAUCAAUUUCAAUUACACUACUCAAAUAAUCAUUGAAUUUCAACAAAUACAUUUACCUAUUAUGUCAUGAUAUAUAUAAUUUAACAAUUCAUAUAGAUAUUAAAUUUUUGAACCGUACGAACUUACCUAGAUUGAAUUGUAGUCGUUGUAGAAGUUUAGGGACUAUUCUGCUAUUUUUCCUUUUCCACGAGUAUCUACGGGAUUUUGAUAUAAAAUGUAAAAUUCUUCAUUUAUUAGUAUAUAUUUCAUUUCCAAACCAUUUUACAAUUAAUACCCUUUUAUUUUUUCAAAAGUACAUAAUUACCCUGAAUUUUUACUAUUUUUGCAAUUUAGUCUCUAACUCGAAAUUCAUCAAAUUUACUAAUUUUCUCAAGUCAAUAUUUUAUCCAAAUAUACUAGGCCCUUAAACAGUCCAUCUAAAUUCACUAUUAAACCCUAAAAUUUUCACAUUUUCGCAAUUUAAUCUUGAAAUCAAAAUCUAACAAAAAUCACUUUACAAAUUCAUCAAAUAGCAUAAUCAAAGCUCCAAAUACAUGGUAUUCAUCAAGAACAUUCAAUAUUCAUCAAUGGAAACUUCCAAAUUUUUUAACAAAAUAAAAAACGAUGGUACAGGCUAGCUGGACCUAGUUGCAACGAUCUCAAAAACAUAAAAAUUACAAGAAACGGGAUUAGAACGUACUCACAUGCAAACUUCCUAUGCUAGCCGAAACUUCUCCUCACCCUAAUUAUGGAUUUCAACCAUUGAAGAAGAAAAUGAAUAGGAAAACUUUAAAUUUUCAAUUUAUUUUGUUUUAAUAUCAACUAAUUUACAAGUUUCCUAUUAUAAUUUCAUUAUUUUGUCAUUUUCCAUCAAUUUGUUUCCCACUAUAUUAUUUAGGGCUUAAUUAUCACUUAAGUCCUUCCUCAACUAUUAAUUAAACAUUUCAUCACCUAAUUGCUUUAAUUAGCAAGUUUUGCACCUUUUACAAUUUAGUCAUUUUUCUGUAAUUAACUAACUAAACAUUAAUAUUUCUUAAUCAAAUCUUAAUAUGACUCUAAUGACUCUAUAAAUAUUCUAAAAAUAAUAUUUAUGAGUUGAUAUGAUGAAAAUUUGUGGCCCGAAACCACUGUUCCAUCACCACUGAAAAUUGAGCUGUUACACUUAUUAUAUUAUUAUUUUAUUAUUCCAAACUUUUAGUAAUUAUUAAGUAGUUUAAGUUAUUUAGGAGUCUUAUGUUAAUAAGAAAUUUUAGUUUAAAACUACUUAUUUAGAUUAAUUUAUAUUUAAGAGUUUUAUUUAGAUUUAUUUAGCUAGCCUUGCAUUGUACACAAAUCAGACUAUUAAUUAUUAUUCAACUUCUCUUUUGAGUUAAUAAAUUCUUUUUGAGUUUUUCUUUCAAGGGUUUCUCUUGAGUUUUCUUUUAGAAGAGUUUUAAUAAUCUUUUCAAAUUGUGGGGAUUAUUUUCAAACUUCUUCUUACCAAGUUGUCUUUAUUGGAGGGAAAAUUAGAGCUGCUUGAAGGGAGUUGUGGAUUUUUUUGUGUUCCCAAGGCUUCUUAGGACUUCUAGACACUACAUUCUAUCUUUUUUAUCUACCUUCUUUAUUGUCCAAUAUUUAAUUUUAUUAUUUUAUUUUAUUCAUCUAAGUUAUUUAUUUUAAUUAUUUUAUCUAACUUGGAUUCGAUCGUGUUUCAGAUGGUGUCAAAAUUCAAGUUUCUUUCUAAACAUCUAGAGCCCUAAGUCAAAUUCGUGACUUGAACAAACUUUACGAUCUACUUCCGCAUUCAUCCACACUCAUUUUUAUUAUUUGGAAUUAGAGCAGAUACCAAAUUAGAUAAACACAUGAUCUGCUUUGAUACCAAAUGAUACGGAUAAGAGUGGAUGAAUGUGGAAGCAAAUCGUAAAGUUUGCCAAAGUCACGAAUUUGACUUAAGGUUCUAGAUGUUCAAAAAGAAACUUGGAUUCUACCACAACCUGAAAUGCAAACGAAAUCCAAGUCAGAUAAAAAUAAAGAAAAAAAAGUAAAAAUAAAUAACUAAGAUGAAUAAAAUAGUAUAAUGAAAUCUAAUAUUAGAAUUAAUAAAGAAGAAAAAUAAAGAAGAUAGAUGGAAAGAUAGAAUAUGGUAUGUAGAAGUCCUAAGAAGCCUUGAAAACACGAAGCAUCCACAAAUCCCUUCAAGCGACUCUAAUUUCCCCUCCAAGAAAGAAAAUUUAGUAAGAAAAGUUUGAAGAUGAUCCCUACAAUCUGAAAAGAUUGUUAAAACUCUUCUAAAAGAAAACUCGAGAGAAAUUCUUGAAAGAAAAACUCAAAGAGAAUUUAUUAACUCAAAAAAGAAGUUAAUAAUAAUCAAUUGUCUUAUUUAUGUACAAUACAAAGGCCUAUAUUUAGGCUAGGUAAAUAAAUCUAAAUAAAACUCUUAUACUAAAACUCUAAUUAAUCUAAAUAAGAAGUAGUUUUAAACUAAACUUUCUUAUUGGCAUAAAACUCCUAAAUAACUUAAACUACUUAAUAAUUAUUAAAAGUUCAGAAUAAUAAAAUAAUAAGAGAUGAUAAAUACAAUAUUGGGCUCAUAUAUAAUAAAAAUUAAACCCAAAGCUCGAACCCAAUAUUAUUCAAACUCAAAUUAAAAGCCCAAAACUCGUAAUUUCUAUCAUAAUCUCAUCCAGAAAUUCUGCUCACAUAAUCUUCAGUAAAAUAGUCAUAACUUGAUCUUCCAAACUCGAAAUCAAGUGAUUCAAAGUGCAUUUCGAAGCUAAGAGAUAGAUAUUCAAACACCAUGCAUACAUCUCAACCUAGAAAUGUCUAGAUCCUAUCCAAAAAGACGUCGCAAGUCUAUUGAUUUCCUAAACUUGAAAAUUGGUAGCUUCGGCUAAUGGAAUUUAAUAAAUUUCACCCCAUUCAUGCAUGUAUCAAUUAAGAUUAAUUAUGAGUUUGAUGUUGAUUAUGACUAAUGGUAUCAAAUCCGACAAUCUAGUUUACUACCUAGCAACCAAGCUUUGUAAUUGUCAGUGUUGAUGAAACAUAGUGAAAUUCAUUAUUGAAGAGAAAAAAAAAUGGAAUAUAAGCAUUCAAUAUACCUCAAUUAAGCCAUAAUACCUGUGGGUUAGUUGAAGAAUUGUGAGAUGACUCCAUGAAAUAAUAAAACAAAGCUCAGCCAGCCUCUGGAUCAACAAUCACAUAACCUGAAUACUUAUCAAAAUCCACCCAUUCUUGCCAAACUUCCAACAUUAUCAACAUCUUUCAGGCCUUGUUGAGAGCCUAUAUAAAUAGGCAAUUCCCCUGCCAAGUUGAUGCCUCAGAUAAUUCUUGCCUUAAGAUUCAAAAGGAUUCAAGUCUCUACCUUGGUAGCCCUGAGUGAGUCCCACCAGACACUAGAGACACCCAAAAUGAUUCCCAUAGUUUUUCCUAUUGUUAGCUCACUUGACUCACUUUGAAUAAUCGGGGUCCCGAUAAUCGUGUUUAAUUUCAAGGUGAUGGGAAAUUUGUUCAAUCAUAAUUGACUUUAAAUUCUAAACACUGCUAGAAGAUUGCUUUAUUAUGAGAUUAUAUAUUGUUUUGUCUUUGACUUUUAAUCAUAUUAAAGUGUUGUUUAAUGGAAUUUUGGCAUCAUUGUACUGUACAGGGUGAUGUGCAUCACUCAAAUUCAAGCUGAGUCCAACUGUGGUACACUUUAAUCAAAGGCAGAAGGUAGUUUAUAAAUAUAGAGCUUUCAAACUAGCAUCAUCCUAAAAUUUUAAUAAAUUAUAAAAAAGAUUUACUUUCUUGAUUAUGUACGUAAAUGACUUGAAAUGAAUAGUAAAAGUUGGUGGAGCCAAAGAGAUUGGCGCCACUAACAUGCAACAUUAGUAAUUUUGAUUAAAAACUUAUUUUUUUUGUGAAACCAUAGAGAAUGGUGUCACCUAUAUAAAUAACAAGGAAAUACUAGUAUUUCUCAAUAAUUGAGGGGCCAAAAAAUAAAUAAUGGUGAAUGGAGCCACCACUUUAUGUCAUGUUAUUAUUUUUUUAGUUUUUUUAAUUUCUUUUCGUUUUUUUUUAAUUUAAAAAAUAUUAUUUUAUUUGGUGGAGUCAUUCUAAAUGGCACCACCAGUGUAAUCUAUCAUUGUUUUUCUUUUUUCUUUUUAAUUUUUUUAAAUUUAAAAUUAAAAGUGAUAUUUUAUUUGGUGUAAUUUAUCACCUUUUCACUUGGAUUCCCUUUUCCACUUUCGUUUUUUCUUUCUCAUUUUUUCACAAACUUUAUUUUUUGGUCCUAUAUUUCUUAAUUUCUAUUAAAAAUGACCCUUAUCAAAUGAUUAAUUCACAUUACAUAAAUGAUUUACAUGAAAAUUAUUUUACAUUGAUAACAGUUCAAAUAAUUAUCAAUUUACAUAAAUAAAAAAUUUAUUUUACAAAAUAUAAUUUUACAUUUACAACAUUCCAAAAUAAUUUCACUUAACUUACGAUAUGUAAUUUUACAACACGAGCAACUUUCUCAAUAUUAAAAAAAAUUAAACGAUUUUGUUCAAGACCAACAACAUUGUGUCUUACAAAUUGAAAAAUACAAUGUUUAAUUGCAACACGAGUAAGUUUCUUGGUGUUAUUAUCUUGCAGCUUGCAUGUUGUUGAUAUUGAUGAUCUCACCUGUGUGGUUCGAUUUGGGAUUCCGUAAAACCUUCAAAUAUUUCGUUGACCUAAAGAAUCUUAGAUAAUCCACCUGUUGGCUGCAUAAUCAAUUUGAACUUGUUAUCGUCCUACCUCAACCAACGAAAUGACUUGCAUAACCAAUUUGAACUUGUUACUGAAUAUAUAACUGACAAUCAAAAAUAACCAUUAAACAUAAAAGCAUAAAAAAACACUCUUCAUCUCUCUCCCGUUCAUCCUUUAAUAUGAUAUAACUAAAAAAACUCUUCAACUAAGAUUUUUCUGCCAUUGGGCUUAUGUAUAGCUAUUUGACCACACCAAAGAAAAUGGCUCCACCAAAUAAAAUAUUAUUUUUUAUUUUUAAAAAAAUAUAUUAGAAAAAAGAAAAAUAGUGAUAGAUUACACUAGUGGCGCCAUUUAGAAUGGUUCCACCAAAUAAAAUAAUAUUUUUUUAAUUUAAAAAAAACCUAAAAAAACUGACAUAAAGUGGUGGCGUCAUUUAGAAUGACUCCACCAAAUAGAAUAACAUUUUUUAAAAUUUUAAAAAAAACAUAACAUAAAGUGGUGGGGCCAUUUGGAAUGGCUCCACCGCCAUUAAUUAUUUUUUGGACCCCCAAUUAUUGUGAAAUGCCAAUAUUUCCUUGGAAUUUAUAUAGUGGCGUCAUUCACUAUGGCUCCACCAAAAAAUUAAUUUUUUAAUCCCAUAACUAAUGUGGCAUGUUGGUGGCACCAAUCUCUUUGGCUCCACCAGCUUUUACUAUUCAUUUUAGGUUAUUUACGUACAUAAUCAAGAAAGUGAGUCAUUUUCAUAAUUUAUUAAAAAUUUAGGGUCAUUUUAAUUUUAAAAAAAAAACCCUAGCAUCCUCUCCUGCACUAAUUGUGAUAGAUAGGCUUUCAUAAUUUUUUUAUUUUUUUUUAGUUUAACCAAUAAAUUAGUACUUAAAUUAUACUAUUUUUCCCAUUUUAAUAUCUUUUUUUUUCUUUUGUCAAAAGUCGCUUCUAAACUAUAGUAUCAUGUUUUUCUGUGGUGUCAGAAAUGAUGGUUUCAAGACCACAAUUCUGAUAUGAGAGGUCAUUUUUUAUCAUUUACUUAAUAUUUAUGGAGUUAUAUUAGAGUCAUAUUAAAUUUUGGUGUAAUGCCCUGAAUAAUUUAUUUCUGUUUCUGUAAAUCUUAACAUAAAUGUGUAUCUGUUUCAAUGGUUAAGUGUUAUGGGUAUGUGUGUGAGGUCUUGGGUUCAAGUCUCACUUUUGGCAAAUUCUGUUAUUUUUUUUAUCCUAGCCUUAUCCCUGUUGGGUAGGCUUAUGUUAUAUUGUUUGUAAACUUAUAUUAGAAUGAGCCUGUUGGUUUAAGUGGUAAGGAGUUACCUUGCUGAAAGUCUUGUGUUUGAAUCCUCACAUAAGUGUGGGUGUUAGUUUUUUGGCAUCAACUGUUGAUAGUAGUUUGGUGGCAGUGGAAUUCUGAGUUGGUUGAGUUGUUAGUGGAUGUAAUGAGAUUUUGCUUAAAUCCUAUUUAAUUUUAUUUUUUCUCUCUUCCUAAAAGUCUGACGUUAGUUUUCUCUUUUCUCUGCCACAUUCUUCUUCCUCUUUGUUUUCCUGCAAUUUUGUCUAUAGUUUGUUGUCGUAUCAUUAUAUUUCAAAAUUUCAAUGUUCAUCGUGCGAUUCUAGUAAGUGGAGUUUCGUUUGACUGUAGGUUUCAGUUUUUGUAAACUAAUUGAGAUUAUUUUUUAUGUUGGAAUUUCAAUAAUGGGGUAAAGUAGGAGGAAAGUAAUUCUUUGAGAAAGUUUGGCAUAGGAAUAGACGGGGAACUUGUGGUUAGCACUCCAACGGCCUAAAUCGUGAGAGUAGUGGUUUUUAUCCGCGGUAAGUUCGUUUGUGCGAUUCAAUUUUUCGUUGUGGAUUUCACAAAUGGUCUAUUAAUCAGUCAUUGGAAUGUUUUUUUUAGGUUCUAGUGGUCUCGGGAGUGAUUUCGCAUCAAAAUCGAACUAGCUGUGUACUUAAAACACGAGAAAAUAAGGUUUGACGAAAGUAAAAAAUUGGGACUAUCGAUGUCACAUGGGCAUGUGGCUGGUCGUGUGUCUGACACACGGCCGUAUGAUUGUCGAGGGUGUGGUCAUGUGUGAGACACUACAAUGUGCUGUUGAAUGAGGGUGUGGCCCAAAAUUCUAAAAUUUUCCCUAGGGUCGCAUGAGUCGUUCCGAUCGACUGUGGGCCUACCGUAGGAUCUGUAAGGGCUAAUCAAACCUUUUUUCAUGUGACCUGAUAUUCUAAUAGUCUAAUCUGAGUAGGCUAAUCAAACCCUUUUUCAUGUGAUCUGAUAUUCUGAUAAUCUGAUCUGAGUAGGAAACUGAUAUGUAUAACUGACUGUACUAUGUAAAUAUGUAUGUUAUCUGUAUAUGAGCAUGUAAAGCAUGUUAAAUCUUUAUUUCUAUAUAUGUAUUAUGUAUCUGUGUUUGGAGUGGGAUUUGUAUAUGCAAAGAAAGUGAUCUGACAUUUUGCCUAUAUUCUGGUAGCUUGACUGUAUAUUAUCUGUUAUGUGUCGCUUCGAUACUAUAUGGUGUGUAGGGAUGGGUGGGUGUUUUUAACCCCACAUGGAAUGAUGGAAUGGACGGAGAUGGUGUGUAGAGGAUGGGGGUAGGAUUUUGUAUAUCUGUCUGCAUUAUCUAAUUCUAAAAUCUAUAUCUGCUAAGGACUUAGGUUUGUAUUUGUAUCUGUUCUGCAUAUAGGAAUACUGUGUGCAUUAGCAUGUCUAUCUCUAUUGGGUUGCACACUGAGUUUAUGAAAACACACAUCUGUUUGUCUAUUCUGUACAGGUAACCCUCGAACAUAGGCAGGUCGGUGCAACGGAGGCUUAAUGGUGACCACUGUUAAAAUUGCCUUUGAGUUUCUGUAUUUUUAAGAUUUUGGAGUUAUAUGAGAGUUUGUAAUUUUUUGGACUCUCUAGACUAUAUGGUUUUAACUGUUGGUUUUGGUUUUGGUUGUUUUUUAUCAUUCGUUGUUUGUUGAAACGAUUUACGAAAAUGAUGGUUUUACACAAACAUAGGUUUUUCUGGAAACAAGAACUGGGUUUCUGAAAUAUAAUAACUUUUAAGAUUUUCGCUACAAAUUAUGUUUUGGCGAAUGAAUAAACUCACGACAGUUUCGGUAAUAAACAAGUAAAUGAAUAUGUUUUCUAAAAUAUGGACACUUUAUAACAUGUAACUUUUUAAGGUUUUUGUCGAAAUAAAAGCAGUUUCAAACCCAUUCUUCGCAACACUCUCGGAUUCGGCCAUAAUGUCUAGGUUGGGUUUAGGGUGUUAUAUUUGGUGAAGAAAUUUUAAUAUUUAGUUGGUUAAUUUAAUAAAAUGACUAAAUUGUGAAGGACACAAAAUUUAAUAAUUAUUGAAUUGUAUUGACUUGAUAGCUUAAUUAACAAAAGAAAGAUGGCUUAGGAAGUAAUUAGUCCAAAGGGUAUCUAGAUGGAUAGUUAACGACCUUAUAAAUGUUAAAUUAUAAGUUUAUAAUAAGGCUAAAGUUGUAAUUUAAUAAAGAUAAACUAAAGGAUAAUAAAAAAAAUAAAACAUAUCAUCAUCUUCUCAAUAGGAUACCAUCAAAAAUUAAAAGAAAAUUUCACCAUUGAAGAAGUUUGUAGGGUUCAGUCAAAUAUUCCUUGCAUGUAAGUCCAUUUUGAGCUUAUUUCUUGUAACUUUUGUGUUUUUGAUAUCGUUGCAACUAGGUCCAGCUAACCCGUAGCUUUGUUUUUGAAACUGUUAAGAAUUUUGGAUUUCAUCGUUAAUGAAUUAUUGUUGUUCAUGAUGUUAAAUGAUGGAUUUGAAGUAUUGGUUGUUGACUAUAAUUAAUUUGUAAAAUAAUUUUGUUAGUUUUUGGUUAAAGGACUAAAUUGGUUGAAUUUUAAAAUUGAUAGGAAAUUUUUAAGUAUUUAGAAUAAUUGUAGGUUGUAAGUGGAUGGGUGAAAAUUCGGAUAGCAUGAGAAGUUGUAAAAUUUUAUUAAAUUUGGAAUUUCGAGUUUAGGGACUAAAUUGUGAAAGAUGUAAAAGUUUAAGGAAAAUGUGUAUAUAAUGAAAACUUGAGGGUCUCAUGCAUUGAGUUGAGUUUGAAAUGUAUGCGAAUUUAACAAAUUGAAUUUAAUUAUUAUAUAGAUCAAGAAUCUAGUCAAAAAGACAAUAACCGAGGAAAGGGGAAAAUUACAGAAUAGACCUUGUGUUUUAACCAGAAGUGGAUUGUAAGUAAGUUCAUAGUGUUUUGUUAUGUAAAUGUAAAUUUCUUGUGAUUAUGUCAUUGUUUUCUAGUUAGUUGUAUAUAUGUAUGUGAAAUUUCAUUAACUACCUAUAUAAUAUUGAAUAUUACAAAUAAAUACAUAUGAAAAUGAAUAAUUGAUGGUAGCAAUUCUUAUGAUUGCACAUUAUUGACAUGAAUAUAUUGGUUUAUAAUAUGUGUACGGAAAUGAUGAAGUGCCUCUGAAUAAUGAAUAUGUAUAAAAAUAACGAAUUUAUGUAUAAUGCCCGAUUGAACAUAAUAAAUGCUUAGGAUAUAAUUGGCAUGCCAAUAGGGUCAGUAAGUACGCUUGUACGGGAUUGCACUUCGAUGCCUCUGUAUACACUUUGGUGUCUCUGUUUGCACUACGGUGCCUCUGAUUGCACAUUUGUGCCUCUGUCUGCACUUUGGUGCCUCUGUUAUGCAACUAUGAUGCCUCUGGUGUGGUGUAGUUACCUGAGUAUCCGAGUCAAGUUACUUAGCUUAUCGGGCUAUGUAUUCAUUGAAUUACAACUUAUUUAUGUGCUUAAAUGAUAUUGCAUAUUCUUGGUGGUAGUAAGUGAAAAAAGUUUCAAUGAUUUUCAUGUUUACAUGCAUACAUAGCUAAAUUAAGGAAAUGUGGUUUAUGAUAAUGGUAAGUCUUUUAAGAAGGGGUUGUUAUAAUAUAUUUAGAUAUGUGAAUAAAUGUUAAUGUCGUGUAUGAAUUUGUAUUUUGUUAUCAGGAAUUAUGAGUUAUUUACUUGCAUAUCUACUUUGUUUAAGGUAAGUUAAUUAGUGUUUAAACUAUGAACUUACUAAACUUUUUUACCUUACUUGUUUGUUUGUGGUUCUUUUGUAGUUACCAAUUUGUGAACUAACCGGACAGAUCGAUUUAGAGCUCACACUAUUCAGCCAUCUUGGUAGUUUUCAUUUUGGGAUGUGGCAUGUAUAUUGGUGUUUUGUUGUAAAUAUGUAAAUUCCUAAGUUAUUUUGGUACACCUAGUAUUAUGUUUGGUUUUAGAGUGUACUAGUGUUGGCUAUAAUUAAGUUGAUCCUAUGUUAUGUAAAUAUUUGAUGGUGAUGUUUUGAAAUGGUUACUUGUUGAGUAUGUCAUGCCUUGUUCAUAUAGAUUGGUGAUUUUAGACAUGAAUGGUUAGUUAAUGAUCAGGUUUAUUCAUGGUUUUCAACCUUGUAAUUGAGUUGAAUUGGUGUGUGAUUUGUUGUGCCUUUGAAUGGCUUAUUGGUUAGGUAUUAUAGGUUAUUUGAAAUGGUACAUUUUAAGUAUAUUGUUAUGUGGUUUGGUCAUGUUAAGGCUUGUGGAAAUUGGGUGUUUUGAUGUGUAAAAAUUAGGCUUGUUUUAGGGGUGACAUAUGUUGCACAGAGCCUGGGACAAAGGUUGUCACACGGCCGUGUGUCAUUUUAAAGUUAGGUGUGGGAUCCACAUGACCUGGCGCACGGCCUAUGACAUGGCCAUGUGGCCCAAGUUAGUGUCUAACACGGUUUGAGACAUGACCGUAUGUCUCAAAAUAGUUUGUAACAUGGUCUGGCACACAACCUGCGACACAACCGUGUAACCCAACUUUGAAUACAUAGACGGUUUGGCACACGGCCUAUGACACAGUAGUGUGGCCCUAUUUCAAAUAUUCACAUGGGUAGACACAUGGGCUGGGACACAUUCAUGUCUCCUAACUUCAAAUGUUCACACGGUCUGGGCUAUGUCACACGACCAUGUGACUCUUGUUUUCCAAAUUUUCAAGUUUUUCUGAAAUUUUCUAAUUUGUUUCAAUUUGAUCCCAGAUUAUUCUCAAACUAUUUUAAGGGUCCCGUAAGUUCGAUUUAAGACCCAUUGGUGUAUUUUUGACAUGAUUAAUUUAAUUUUUAUAUGUUAGCAUUUUAUUUGUUAAAUUGUUUCUAUUAUGAAUUAAAUGUUCUGUUUUGCUCGAUAACACUCAAUAACCUUAAUUCGACAAUGGAAGCAGAAUACGUAUGUUACAUAAACUCCUUUUUUUCUCAAGUUGGUACCUCCAUUAGUAAAACUGCUAGUCAAGCCAUUAAGUUCAUGAGUCAAUCUAUUCAACCCCUAUCUUCAGACAAAUACUCUACUGAUUGAAUUGAUAUGUAUGCUGACAUUUUUUACUUCGACCUUCACAAUUGUUCAACCCUAUCUCUUGAUAACCCCUCAAAAGCACCCCUUAACUUAACAUAAGCAUGAGUUUGUGAGAGCCCACUUAUUAAUCAUCACUCUUGGUCUCAACUACUACGUCCUAUUUAAAGUGAUUGAAAACACAUUUCAUCGCCACCCUACAUAGACUUAUGGUCAAACCACUUACCCUUAACUCACGUAUGAGGGCAUGACACGUGGUGUCUUGGAAUUGUAGCCUUGACAAAAAAUGGGACUUCAACUCUCUCUCCUCUACUCUUUCUCUUCCACCAUCUUCAUCAUCAUCUAAAACUCGAUAUAAGUACCGUCUUUUUCCAGACACCCAUUACAGUAACUCUCGUCUUUACCCCAUGCGAAGUGAACUACCUAACAAUAUUGCCAUCUCCGUCUUGUCUAAACGCAAUAUAUAAUAUUUUCUUAUAUUCAUAGCUAUCUAAAAUUUUAAAAAUAUAUAAUUAAUCUAUUUUGUAUCAUUUACUAUUUUUUAUUCAUAAAUUAUUAAAUGUCGGCUUAUUGCAAAAUUAAAAACACAAACAAAAUCUAAAAAUUUAUUACUUAAUGAUUUAAUUGUGACAUACUUAUUUUAAUUAAAGUAAUGCACUUUAUUUUAAACAUUUUGUUCAUUUAAAAUUCGAUUAAAUUAAAAAAUUACAUAUUUAAAUAGAGAAAGUAUAUUAUUUUUUAUUUAAAUAAUUCAAUAAAAAUUAUAAAUCUAAAGCUUUAUUAAUUUUAACACAAAUCAAUGCAAUGUAAAAUCUAUUUUUAAAUAUUUAUUACUUUAUUCUUAAAUAAAAUAUUAAAUAUUAUAUAAUAGUUGAGUACGAUGAGGACUCUUGAUGAUAUUAAGUACUCUAAUAAUUAUAUUUUUUUUAAUGAACCAAUAAUUAUAAUUUUUAAUAUAAUAUUUUUAUUAAUUAGUCUGUAAAGGUAUUUUUUUAUAUAAUAUUACGGGUAACGAAUAGAGUAAUACGAUUUAAAUUUGUGCCAGACAAGUAUAUGAGGGUAUUUUGAAAAAGUAUAUAUAAAUAAAUAAAUUAGAAAAAUUAUUUGAUAUAUCGUAGCUUUUUAGACUUUACAAGCGAGUUAAGAGUUUGACAAAUGUAUUAUAGGGUGUAGUAAAAAUAUAAAAAAAUAAUUUCAUAAAUAAAUGUGAUAUUUGUUAUACCCUCAUCUCGAUUGAAGUGUAUAAAAUAUUUUACUGGUGAUGUAUCAAAUAAUUACUCAAAAAAUUAAAUAUUUUAGAAAGUUAUUUUAGACUAUCUGUUUUACUAUGGAGUUCAUAAGAUUAUAUAAAUAGUAGGGUCAGUCUACUAUUUUCCCCCAAAAUUCCACCAAAUUAUUAUUUUGGUACUUAAAUUUUUUUUCAUCAUUUUGUACUUAAAAUUUUCAAUAUGUUAUUAAUUUGCCCGAUUGUUAAUGGAAUUUAAAAAAGGGUGACAUGGCUUGCUGAGAGCACAUUACCUAAAUUUUAUUUUUCAAUAACAAUUUUAAAAAAAGAAAAAAAAUUCAGAAAAAUAACAAAAAAUAAGAAAAUUUUUCAAUUUUUUUAAAAUAAAAAAAUAUAUAAAAAAUCCAAGAUUUAAAAAAUAUUUUUUUUGAAUUAAUCAACUGGAUUAUAAGCGCAAACAUAAAAACAAAUGGAAGUCUUGCUGCUGAGUUAGGUUUUAGUCCAACAUCACAGGCCUAAAGAACAAUUAAAAGAAACAGGCCUACAUCAGAAAUGGCCCGAGAAUUGAAAUGAAAAAUAAUAAAACAAAACAGAAAAGGAAACCUAAUAUAUUUAAAAGCUCCAGUCGACAGUAACAACUGGCCUCCAUAAUUUCUAGCGCUUCACAUCACCGCCACAGCUGUUUCAUUAUAGCAAAUCUUAUGAAAUCUUUUACUUUCUGCUACAUUUUCAAAAAAGAGACGUUUCAUAUAUUUUAUUCUAAUAGUCUUAAGCAUUUUUUCUCCAUGUCUUUCAGUUUGAAAACUAAGACGUUUCUUCUCCUUUUUUUCAUGCUGAGAAACUAAGACGCUUCUUCUUCUUUUCUUUUAUGCUAAAAAUCGAAGGCGCUUCUUCUUCAUUUCACUCCGAACGAAAAUUGGGAUGCCUCCUUCCAGGUGAUGGCCUUCACCCUGUUUUAAUGCUUCUUUUGCAACAAAAUGGGCGCAUAUGUUUUCUAACUUUGGGAUAUAAUGAAAUCUAAGUUCUUGAAAAUGAUUAUUUAUGCUUUGAAUAUAUCGGGUGAUUGCUCUGAUAAUCGAUCUGUCGCAUUCUGUGUUUUGGCACUUUGUUGUUACCAUUCUUGAGUCACCCAAUAUAUCUAGAACAUUAAAACCCAUAGAAAUUCCUAAUCUUGUGGCUUGAUAUCCUGCAUGUGCCUCCGCCGUAAACGGAGAGGGGACACCGGAGUGAAGAACUUACUUGGAUGCCAAGACUUUUCCCCCCAUAUCUCUUACUAUCAGCCUCGACGUAGAUCUAGAAGACUGUUGGUUAAACGCCGUAUCAAAAUAAAUAGCCACAGUUGCUCUCUGGUCAUCUUGUUUAGGUCCCUUGUCUGCUUCCAAGGUUAGAAUUUUAUCCUCUAUUCCUUUUAACUCAGAGAUAUAACUGAGAAUUUGAUUAUAGAUAUCCCAGCUUGUUGUGUUUUUUCUUUUGUAGAUUAACUUGUUUCUGCUUGUCCAGAUUAUCCAAAGUCUGUAACAAAAGAGACAACACUGCUUGACGGUCCCUUGACUAAACACCCAGGUAAGCCAUUCCCUUAUAUUUUGAGCAUUACUGUUGAGUAUCAAUGAAAAAUUUAAAAACCUCCAUAUUUUUGUAACACCCCUUACCCGUGUUCGACGCUGGAAUAAGGUACGAGGCAUUACCGGACUUAGUCAUACACAAACAUGCAAAAACUGGGCUAUAAAAUUUCUUUUAGAUCAAAACUUUAAAUACAUAACGUCUCAUACAAGGGCCUACGAAGCCUUAAACAUGCAUUGAAAGUAGUUAAGGACUAAACCGAGAAUCUUAGAAAAUUUUGGGAAAGCUUAGAAAAAUUUUCCAUGACACAAAGUCACAUGUCCGUGUGGACACAGGGACACGCCCGUGUGCCCAGGACACGCCCGUAUCCUUAGGCCGUGUAACUCUCUAACAAUGACGUCAGCGAAUAAUCUGAACUAUACGGCCAAGCCACACGCCCGUCUGUUAAGGUCGUGUUCCCCCACACGGUUAAGACACACGGUCGUGUCUCAGCCUGUGUGGCCAACACUUAGGCUAUUUUCCAAGCCUUUAUGUUACUCUUAAUCCUUCACAUCUUUAUACCCACCAAGGACACAUGUCAUGAAAUCAUUUUAAUGAUUUAGCAUCCAUAUUAAGACACAUUCAUGACAUUAACAUGUUACCAUUCAUACAUUUCACAUACUCAUAUAAUAUCAAGUCGAGACACAACAAUACCUAUUCAUUAGCCUUGUCAUUUAAUGACCACUUUUACCAAAUUUUCAUAAUCGCCAUCUUAUUUCCAUAUCAAAAAUUUAAUUCAUGGCCAUGACCAUUUCAAUUGGUCAUAGAGCAUUCAUCGUGCACUUAAUUCACAACACCAACCAUAUAUGGCUAACAAGCAUAAUCACAUCAUCACAUCACAAGCAUUAGAACAUAACAUAGAUAGAUAAGUUCACAAACCACAAUCAAUAUGAGCCACUCAUCAUGGCCAUAUAUAAGUAACUCAAUGUAAGCCAAUACCUUUG